RNAcentral lists this ribosomal RNA (1346 nucleotides) under Acinetobacter baumannii. Its description in RNAcentral is "partial 23S ribosomal RNA". It matches the Rfam family "Bacterial large subunit ribosomal RNA", at positions 1 to 1368 of the family's 2925-position model. Lineage: Bacteria; Pseudomonadati; Pseudomonadota; Gammaproteobacteria; Moraxellales; Moraxellaceae. The record is from RNAcentral.
GUUGUAUAGUCAAGUAAUUAAGUGCAUGUGGUGGAUGCCUUGGCAGUCAGAGGCGAUGAAAGACGUGAUAGCCUGCGAAAAGCUCCGGGGAGGCGGCAAAUAUCCUUUGAUCCGGAGAUGUCUGAAUGGGGGAACCCACCUACUUUAAGGUAGGUAUUGCAACAUGAAUACAUAGUGUUGCAAGGCGAACGAGGGGAAGUGAAACAUCUCAGUACCCUUAGGAAAAGAAAUCAAUUGAGAUUCCCUCAGUAGCGGCGAGCGAACGGGGAUCAGCCCAUUAAGUUAUGUGUGUUUUAGUGGAACGCUCUGGGAAGUGCGAACGUAGAGGGUGAUAUUCCCGUACACGAAAGGGCACACAUAAUGAUGACGAGUAGGGCGAGGCACGUGAAACCUUGUCUGAAUAUGGGGGGACCAUCCUCCAAGGCUAAAUACUCCUGACUGACCGAUAGUGAACCAGUACCGUGAGGGAAAGGCGAAAAGAACCCCUGUGAGGGGAGUGAAAUAGAUCCUGAAACCGCAUGCAUACAAGCAGUGGGAGCACCUUCGUGGUGUGACUGCGUACCUUUUGUAUAAUGGGUCAGCGACUUAUAUUCAGUAGCAAGGUUAACCGUAUAGGGGAGCCGUAGAGAAAUCGAGUCUUAAUAGGGCGUUUAGUUGCUGGGUAUAGACCCGAAACCAGGCGAUCUAUCCAUGAGCAGGUUGAAGGUUGGGUAACACUAACUGGAGGACCGAACCCACUGUCGUUGAAAAGCCAGGGGAUGACUUGUGGAUAGGGGUGAAAGGCUAAUCAAGCCUGGUGAUAGCUGGUUCUCCCCGAAAGCUAUUUAGGUAGCGCCUCGGACGAAUACCAUAGGGGGUAGAGCACUGUUUCGGCUAGGGGGUCAUCCCGACUUACCAAACCGAUGCAAACUCCGAAUACCUAUGAGUACUAUCCGGGAGACAGACUGCGGGUGCUAACGUCCGUAGUCAAGAGGAAAACAAUCCAGACCGCCAGCUAAGGCCCCAAAAUCAUAGUUAAGUGGGAAACGAUGUGGGAAGGCAUAGACAGCUAGGAGGUUGGCUUANNNNNNNNNNNNNNNNNNNNNNNGAAGCAGCCACCCUUUAAAGAAAGCGUAAUAGCUCACUAGUCGAGUCGGCCUGCGCGGAAGAUGUAACGGGGCUAAAACUAUGUGCCGAAGCUGCGGAUGUAUACUUUGUAUACGUGGUAGGGGAGCGUUCUGUAAGCCGAUGAAGGUGUGUUGAGAAGCAUGCUGGAGGUAUCAGAAGUGCGAAUGCUGACGUGAGUAACGACAAAACGGGUGAAAAACCCGUUCGCCGAAAGACCAAGGGUUCCAGUCCAACGUUAA